RNAcentral lists this ribosomal RNA (643 nucleotides) under uncultured bacterium. RNAcentral's name for it is "bacterial SSU rRNA". It matches the Rfam family "Bacterial small subunit ribosomal RNA", at positions 232 to 885 of the family's 1533-position model. The record is from RNAcentral.
CGCGGCCUAUCAGCUUGUUGGUGGGGUAAUGGCCUACCAAGGCGACGACGGGUAGCCGGCCUGAGAGGGCGACCGGCCACACUGGGACUGAGACACGGCCCAGACUCCUACGGGAGGCAGCAGUGGGGAAUAUUGCACAAUGGGCGGAAGCCUGAUGCAGCGACGCCGCGUGAGGGAUGACGGCCUUCGGGUUGUAAACCUCUUUCAGCAGGGACGAAGCGUGAGUGACGGUACCUGCAGAAGAAGCGCCGGCCAACUACGUGCCAGCAGCCGCGGUAAGACGUAGGGCGCGAGCGUUGUCCGGAUUUAUUGGGCGUAAAGAGCUCGUAGGCGGCUUGUCGCGUCGUCCGUGAAAACUUGGGGCUCAACUCCAAGCUUGCGGUCGAUACGGGCAGGCUAGAGUUCGGUAGGGGAGACUGGAAUUCCUGGUGUAGCGGUGAAAUGCGCAGAUAUCAGGAGGAACACCGGUGGCGAAGGCGGGUCUCUGGGCCGAUACUGACGCUGAGGAGCGAAAGCGUGGGGAGCGAACAGGAUUAGAUACCCUGGUAGUCCACGCUGUAAACGUUGGGCGCCAGGUGUGGGGGGCCUCUCCGGUUCUCUGUGCCGCAGCUAACGCAUUAAGCGCCCCGCCUGGGGAGUACGG